CUACGUGCCAGCAGCCGCGGUAAUACGUAGGGCGCGAGCGUUGUCCGGAAUUAUUGGGCGUAAAGAGCUUGUAGGCGGUUUGUCGCGUCUGCUGUGAAAGGCCGGGGCUUAACUCCGUGUAUUGCAGUGGGUACGGGCAGACUAGAGUGCAGUAGGGGAGACUGGAAUUCCUGGUGUAGCGGUGGAAUGCGCAGAUAUCAGGAGGAACACCGAUGGCGAAGGCAGGUCUCUGGGCUGUAACUGACGCUGAGAAGCGAAAGCAUGGGGAGCGAACAGGAUUAGAUACCCUGGUAGUCCAUGCCGUAAACGUUGGGCACUAGGUGUGGGGGACAUUCCACGUUUUCCGCGCCGUAGCUAACGCAUUAAGUGCCCCGCCUGGGGAGUACGGCCGCAAGGCUAAAACUCAAAGGAAUUGACGGGGGCCCGCACAAGCGGCGGAGCAUGCGGAUUAAUUCGAUGCAACGCGAAGAACCUUACCAAGGCUUGACAUGC
RNAcentral lists this ribosomal RNA (492 nucleotides) under uncultured bacterium. RNAcentral describes it as "bacterial SSU rRNA". It matches the Rfam family "Bacterial small subunit ribosomal RNA", at positions 501 to 989 of the family's 1533-position model. The record is from RNAcentral.